Molecule: ribosomal RNA, 460 nt
Filed under: uncultured bacterium
Lineage: Bacteria
Description: partial 16S ribosomal RNA
Rfam family: Bacterial small subunit ribosomal RNA
Source: RNAcentral
CCUACGGGUGGCAGCAGUGAGGAAUAUUGGUCAAUGGACGAGAGUCUGAACCAGCCAAGUAGCGUGAAGGAUGACUGCCUUAUGGGUUGUAAACUUCUUUUAUAUGGGAAUAAAAUGUUCCACGUGUGGGAUUUUGUAUGUACCAUAUGAAUAAGGAUCGGCUAACUCCGUGCCAGCAGCCGCGGUAAUACGGAGGAUCCGAGCGUUAUCCGGAUUUAUUGGGUUUAAAGGGAGCGUAGGUGGAUUGUUAAGUCAGUUGUGAAAGUUUGCGGCUCAACCGUAAAAUUGCAGUUGAAACUGGCAGUCUUGAGUACAGUAGAGGUGGGCGGAAUUCGUGGUGUAGCGGUGAAAUGCUUAGAUAUCACGAAGAACUCCGAUUGCGAAGGCAGUUCACUGGACUGCAACUGACACUGAGGCUCGAAAGUGUGGGUAUCAAACAGGAUUAGAUACCCGUGUAGUC